UGCCUGCUGGAGAGUAUUGGAGGAAGAAGCUGAGUCAGCAGGACAUCCCUGGGGCAUGAGCCUGGUGUUCACCUCCAGAUCCACAACUUAAGAAACAUGAGUGAAGAAAAUGAAGCUCGUUGGUUGCCUAAACGAUUGGUGCGGUGUAUGGAGUAGAGAGAGGCUGGCCCUGAUGUUGCUGAUGACCGUCCAGAGAUGCCAGAGUGAGACCUAUUGGGCCUGUGUUCCUGAUGCACCAAUUUACAUCCUGCCACUUGGAAAGGAAAAGGAAUUGUGGUUGUGGUUAAGGAUACCGGGCUGUUAGAUCGACCUUUCACCCAAGAGUUCCAGAUUACUCACAAUUUUUCUUAUAUUGGAUAUGGUAAAGGGAUCCCUAUAUGUUUUACAAAAGAUACUACUUUAGAGGGAUGUCUUGGAAUGUUUCCAAAACAAGUAUUGGAACAUGAUAAACAAUGUACCAGUUAUACAAAGUUAUUGCUUCCUCAGGGUAAUUGGACAAGUAAUACUUCACCAUCCAACGAUUUCCUUCAUGCACAAAAGAACUGCGAGAGUCUAACAGAACUUUGUUUUGGAGAUGAUGUACUGGCAUUGUUCCUUUAAGGUACAACAUCACAGGGAUACAACAGUAUAUUCUUGACUGGUCUGGAAAUCAGGAAGACUAUAGUGACUCUUAUGCUGUGUCUACAGCAGAAUCUUGGGACUAAGGAAUGUCAGCUGGAAUUUGUGGAAUUCCAGUACUGGAUCUCCACAAACUUAUGUUUGGAAAAUUGCUGCUGCCAUGGGAACAGUCAGAGGACGUUCCAGGCAUUUGAAACCUGUUUGUCCUUUGAAAGGAACUGUUUUAGCUUGUGUUAAAAUGCCCUAUGUUCUUUUAGUUGGUGAAACAAAUAUUUCUAUGAAUGGUUCUGUGUUUAAUGUAUCAUUUUGACCGAUUGUAUUUCCCAAAUGGAUAAUCACAUUCGUGUAAUAAUUUAAAACAACCUUUA
This is a long non-coding RNA of Peromyscus leucopus (white-footed mouse), 986 nucleotides long. RefSeq lists it as uncharacterized. The transcript has 2 exons. The record is from RefSeq and is a predicted model, not a curated record. Lineage: Eukaryota; Metazoa; Chordata; Mammalia; Rodentia; Cricetidae.